UCCAGACUCCUACGGGAGGCAGCAGUGGGGAAUAUUGCACAAUGGGGGAAACCCUGAUGCAGCGACGCCGCGUGAAGGAAGAAGUAUUUCGGUAUGUAAACUUCUAUCAGCAGGGAAGAAAAUGACGGUACCUGACUAAGAAGCCCCGGCUAACUACGUGCCAGCAGCCGCGGUAAUACGUAGGGGGCAAGCGUUAUCCGGAUUUACUGGGUGUAAAGGGAGCGUAGGCGGUGCAGCAAGUCAGAAGUGAAAGCCCGGGGCUCAACUCCGGGACUGCUUUGGAAACUGUUUGACUGGAGUGCAGGAGAGGUAAGUGGAAUUCCUAGUGUAGCGGUGAAAUGCGUAGAUAUUAGGAGGAACACCAGUGGCGAAGGCGGCUUACUGGACUGUAACUGACGUUGAGGCUCGAAAGCGUGGGGAGCAAACAGGAUUAGAUACCCCGGUA
This 445-nucleotide ribosomal RNA is filed under the name uncultured bacterium. RNAcentral's name for it is "partial 16S ribosomal RNA". It matches the Rfam family "Bacterial small subunit ribosomal RNA", at positions 330 to 792 of the family's 1533-position model. The record is from RNAcentral.